Molecule: ribosomal RNA, 305 nt
Filed under: uncultured bacterium
Lineage: Bacteria
Description: bacterial SSU rRNA
Rfam family: Bacterial small subunit ribosomal RNA
Source: RNAcentral
UUUUUCCUACGGGACGCAGCAGUAGGGAAUCUUCCACAAUGGGCGAAAUCCUGAUGGAGCAACGCCGCGUGGGUGAAGAAGGUCUUCGGAUCGUAAAACCCUGUUGUUAGAGAAGAAAGUGCGUGAGAGUAACUGUUCACGUUUCGACGGUAUCUAACCAGAAAGCCGCGGCUAACUACGUGCCAGCAGCCGCGGUAAUACGUAGGUGGCAAGCGUUAUCCGGAUUUAUUGGGCCUAAAGGGAACGCAGGCGGUCUUUUAAGUCUGAUGUGAAAGCCUUCGGCUUAACCGGAGUAGUGCAUUGGA